GACGAACGCUGGCGGCGUGCUUAACACAUGCAAGUCGAACGGUGAGGCCCUUCGGGGUACACGAGUGGCGAACGGGUGAGUAACACGUAGGUGAUCUGCCCUGCACUUCGGGAUAAGCCUGGGAAACUGGGUCUAAUACCGGAUAGGACCACUGCCUGCAUGGGUGGUGGUGGAAAGCUUUUGCGGUGUGGGAUGGGCCCGCGGCCUAUCAGCUUGUUGGUGGGGUGAUGGCCUACCAAGGCGACGACGGGUAGCCGGCCUGAGAGGGUGACCGGCCCAACUGGGACGGAGAUCCGGCCCAGACUCGUACGGGAGGCAGCAGUGGGGAAUAUUGCACAAUGGGCGCAAGCCUGAUGCAGCGAGGCCGCGUGAGGGAUGACGGCCUUCGGGUUGUAAACCUCUUUCAGCACCGACGAAGCGCAAGUGACGGUAGGUGCAGAAGAAGGACCGGCCAACUACGUGCCAGCCGCCGCAGUAA
This 478-nucleotide ribosomal RNA is filed under the name uncultured bacterium. RNAcentral's name for it is "partial 16S ribosomal RNA". It matches the Rfam family "Bacterial small subunit ribosomal RNA", at positions 28 to 523 of the family's 1533-position model. The record is from RNAcentral.